RNAcentral lists this long non-coding RNA (1680 nucleotides) under Olea europaea subsp. europaea. Lineage: Eukaryota; Viridiplantae; Streptophyta; Magnoliopsida; Lamiales; Oleaceae. The record is from RNAcentral.
GAGGAAUUAGAGAGUAGAGAGAAGAUUGGGAGUAGAGAGAAAAAAAAAUAUUAGUUUCUCCUAAGUAUUACCUCUUUGUAUUCUCAUAUUACAAGAGAGAUUAAUUGUUGUUAUCUCCUUGGAUUUAGAGAGUGUUGUAAUUCUCCUACUAUAGUGAAAUCCUCCUAUACUUGCCCGUGGACGUAGCCUAAAUUGGGUGAACUACGUAAAUACUUGUGUCCAUUUUCAGCUGCGGUUUCUCAAUUCCAUUUUGUUGUAAAGCCAAAGUCGACCCACGUUAUUUCUAACACAUUAUUGUGGCUACGUCUCACUUGAUCAUUUUUGGUGCAAUUAGACGACCUUUCAUCAAGCAGAUGAUCAUUUUCAACAUUUUCUGAAGAAAGCAGUUUCAUUGGCUCAAGUGAACGUGCUGAUUCAUGCGGGUCAUGUUCGAAUUCCUCUAUACACAUGGGUAUUUGACAUCUGAUUGCAGUACAUUUAGUCUUUCCACAUAUAUUCCAACUUCUGGAUACGUUGCAGGUGAACUUUCCAAGUCUGGAUGUAGUUCAACAGUAGCAUCAAACUUGUUGGCAGAUGAAGAAAAAGCAUUUUCUUCUACAUAUCUGCUUUCUGCCUCAUCUGACCCUUCAGAUCGAGUAUCAUCGUAUCUAUCAGACAGCGCAUAAAAAAAUUUCUUCAUUGCAGUAGGAGGGCAAUAGCAGAUUAGUGAUUCGAAAUUAAAUAUAACUCCCGUUUGGUUCCAUUUUUUUCAAAAUGCAUUUUUCUCUCUUUUCUUUUUAACCACACAUUCUUCAUUAAAAUAAUAUUACACGUAAAUAAAAAACUUUUCUUUAUUUUUCAACUACACAUUUCCCAUCAAUUUACUAUUCCAAAAUGCAUCUUUACAUAAAAAUGACUCUCAAACACCCUCAUAAUAUAAGCAAAGAUAUUAUUUUUAUUUUUUAUUUUUCCCUCUUUGUUUUUCAAAUUGCAUUGGCCUGCUUGAGCAAGGAUAAAAUUGGAAAAUAAAGUAGUUAAGGCCUCAACUAAAACACUGAUCAUCAAAGUCAAGCAAGCCAAAUUUUGUGAAACAGAUGAAGUAGCAAGUUGCUGACAGGUGAUAGCAGUAACUAUCAACUAAUUCUCGAGGGCAAAGUUGAUAAGUGAAAUAUCUGCGAACCUGUUUCAAUUUUGUUCUGGAACCUUUAUGCACACUGUAACUGGAUGAACUUGAAAGGCUGCAUUGUGAUGAUUCCAAGCUUCUUCGAAUACCUCCGACCAUAUCAGUGGGCAUGUCUACCGUGUAAACAACCACAUCAAAGUCCGGAACCUAAUAAGAAAUAUAUUUGAUGAAUUCUAGUGCAUGACUAGAAGGUUUUAAACAAAUUUUGCAAAAAUAUAGGGAACUGCUGAAAACACUGGCAACAAUAACCAGGAAGUGGAUCUGGUAUUAAGAAAAACAUCUUACACUUAGUUGCUUAGACCUGGCUUUCCUUGAGAGUGCUCUUAUGCAAAUGCAAACUUUUCGAAUGUCUCGUUUCUCAACAACAUCUGAUGGUGAAAAGAGAUCAAUGCCAUUUUUUUUUUUUUUUUGGUAGGUAGAGAACAAUGCCAUUCAAUCCUAAAAUUUUGCACAUCUACCAAAAAAGGGUGAAUUAAGAAUAUUAGCAAUCAUUUUUUAAACAUUCUGCUUAAACAGGA